Molecule: unclassified non-coding RNA, 263 nt
Filed under: plant metagenome
Description: partial contains small subunit ribosomal RNA, internal transcribed spacer 1, and 5.8S ribosomal RNA
Source: RNAcentral
UUUCCGUAGGUGAACCUGCGGAAGGAUCAUUAUUGUAUAACCGAGGUGCGAGGGCUGUCGCUGACCCGAAAGGUCGUGCACGCCCGAGUGCCCUCACACACAUCCAACUCACCCCUAUGUGCACCACCGCGUGGGUCCCCCUUUGGCUUGUUCGGAGGGGGGCUUACGUUUUCACACAAACUUUGUAUGCAGUGUAGAAUGCAUUUUUUGUUUUUGCGAUCACGCAAUCAAUACAACUUUCAACAACGGAUCUCUUGGCUCUC